This 286-nucleotide unclassified non-coding RNA is filed under the name uncultured fungus. RNAcentral's name for it is "partial contains small subunit ribosomal RNA, internal transcribed spacer 1, and 5.8S ribosomal RNA". The stretch from base 1 to 73 matches the Rfam family "Eukaryotic small subunit ribosomal RNA", at positions 1759 to 1831 of the family's 1831-position model. The record is from RNAcentral. Lineage: Eukaryota; Fungi.
UCAAACUUGGUCAUUUAGAGGAAGUAAAAGUCGUAACAAGGUCUCCGUUGGUGAACCAGCGGAGGGAUCAUUAUAGUGGUUUAACAAACCCCUAAAACCUUUGUGAAUCUACCUAUUUAGUUGCUUCGGCAGGCGGCUCCAGGGCGGAGUUGUAGCCUGAUUUUCAGGCGCCUGCCGAAGUUAUUUUUCUACUCUUAUAUUGUAUUGAUUGUCUGAGUUUUAAAAUAAUGAGUUAAAAACUUUCAGCAACGGAUCUCUUGGUUCUGGCAUCGAUGAAGAACGCAGC